UAUAUGACAAUAUCUGGCAAUUGAGAGUUCCUAAUUAAAUGCCUAGUAGUGUAAUUUAUUAAUGUUGGUGUGCAGAAUAAGAUCUUAUAAAAUGAGAAAACUCACGUGUGCCUUUAACGCCUACUAAGCAUCAGGCAUUACAUAAAGGGGGAAGAAUCUUUUUGGGAAAUGUGUUUUUCUCAUGAAUGGUGCAUCGAUCCCUGAGGACUUGGGGUUUUCCCUGCCUUUGCGGGUCAGCUGGCGGGGAUAUUUGAACCAAACGCCAGGUCACACUAGGCAGUAAGGUAUUUAUUCCCAGUCAUUUUGACCUUCUCCAGAUGGCGCCAAACCCUUAACUAAGUCAUCAGGCUCCCUCCCGGACUUCCGCUAAUGGCCCCACUUCCUGUCCAAGGACCCCAUUCUGUCCGAAGUGAGACGGAACACACGCCGUGUUAGGGAGGUUAUUGUUUUUCUCAAGAGAACUUUCACAGGUGUAUGAAAAUAACAUGACUUGCGUGUAUUUAGAGAUUUUCCCCGUCACCUGAGGCUCACAUUUCCCUUUCAGGCGCCAAGACAGCGAGGUUUUUGAUCAGGCGCGCGCCGCGGACAGCCUCUACCUCCAGGGGUCUUAGGCGGCCCAGGGCAGACCCGGGAGUCGCUGGAAGCGCAAGAUGGCGACGGCGGCCGCAGCGUCGGCUUCGGAACCGGAGACCGAUCCCAAGGCGGGGCCCGAGGCUGAGGGCGAGGAGGACGAGGCGAAGGCGGACAGGACGAGGAGGAAGGUGUUAACGCGCGCCGUGGCCACGGCGGCCUACAAGGCCAUGGGGCCAGCGUGGGAUGAGCAGCGGGAGGAAGGCGUGAGUGAGAGCGAUGGAGACGAGGAGUUCGCCAUGGCCUCCUCGGCGGAGAGCUCCCCCGGCGAGGACGAGUGGGAGUACGACGAAGAGGAGGAGAAGAACCAGCUGGAGAUUGAGCGGCUGGAGGAGCAGCUGUCUAUCAACAUCUAUGACUACAACUGCCAUGUGGACCUGAUCAGGCUGCUACGGCUGGAAGGGGAGCUCACCAAAGUGAGGGCGGCCCGCCAGAAGAUGAGUGAGAUCUUCCCUUUGACAGAAGAGCUCUGGCUGGAGUGGCUGCACGAUGAGAUCAGCAUGGCCCUGGACAGCCUGGACCGAGAGCACGUGUACGACCUCUUUGAGAAAGCCGUGAAGGAUUACAUAUGUCCAAACAUUUGGCUGGAGUAUGGCCAGUACUCAGUCGGUGGGAUUGGUCAGAAAGGUGGCCUGGAGAAAGUCCGCUCUGUGUUUGAAAGGGCUCUCUCGUCUGUCGGUUUACAUAUGACCAAAGGCCUGGCCAUCUGGGAGGCUUACCGGGAGUUCGAAAAUGCGAUUGUGGAAGCUGCCCGGCCCAUGGCUGGCUUCCUUUCCCCUUUUGACCGGGAACAAACCUUUGAUUCACAGCUGGAGAAAGUGCACAGUCUCUUCCGGCGACAGUUGGCAAUCCCACUCUACGAUAUGGAGGCAACAUUUGCAGAGUAUGAAGAGUGGUCGGAAGACCCAAUACCAGAGUCGGUAACUCAGAGCUAUCACAAAGCGCUACAGCAGUUGGAGAAAUACAAACCUUACGAGGAAGCACUGUUGGAAGCAGAGGCUCCCAGGCUGGCCGAAUAUCAAGCAUACAUCGAUUUUGAGAUGAAAAUCGGCGAUCCUGCUCGCAUUCAGUUGAUCUUUGAGCGUGCCCUGGUUGAGAACUGCCUGGUUCCAGACUUAUGGAUCCGUUACAGUCAGUACCUAGACCGGCAGCUGAAAGUAAAGGACUUGGUUUUAUCUGUACAUAAUCGUGCUGUUAGAAACUGCCCCUGGACAGUUGCCCUGUGGAGCCGGUACCUCUUGGCCAUGGAAAGACACGGAGCUGACCAUCACGUGAUUUCUGUGACCUUCGAGAAAGCUUUGAGUGCUGGCUUCAUUCAGGCCACUGACUAUGUGGAGAUUUGGCAAGCAUACCUUGAUUACCUGAGGAGAAGGGUUGAUUUCAAACAAGACUCCAGUAAAGAGCUGGAAGAGUUGCGGUCCGCCUUCACUCGUGCUUUGGAGUUUCUGAGACAGGAGGUGGAGGAACGUUUCAAUGAGAGUGGGGAUCCAAGCUGCAUGAUCAUGCAGAACUGGGCCAGGAUCGAGGCUCGACUGUGUAAUAACAUGCAGAAAGCUCGGGAGCUCUGGGACAGCAUCAUGACCAGAGGAAACGCCAAGUAUGCCAACAUGUGGCUUGAGUAUUACAACCUGGAAAGGGCACACGGCGACACCCAGCACUGCAGGAAGGCUCUGCACCGGGCCGUCCAGUGCACCAGUGACUACCCAGAGCACGUCUGUGAAGUGCUGCUCACCAUGGAGAGGACAGAAGGUACUUUAGAAGAUUGGGAUAUAGCUGUCCAGAAAACGGAAACUCGAUUAGCCCGUGUUAAUGAGCAGAGAAUUAAGGCUGCGGAGAAGGAAGCCACCCUCGCCCAGCAGGAAGAGGAGAAGGCUGAGCACCGGAAGCGGGCCCGGGCUGAGAAGAAAGCGCUGAAAAAGAAAGCAGCCAGAGGCGCAGACAAGCGCAAAGCCGAUGAGGAUGCUGAGAAAGAGUGGCGCGGCGACGAGGAAGGUGCUGGCAAGACACCCCAUCACCCUUCCUGUCUCUGCCUACCUCUGUGCCAGCCUUCCAAGCGCAGAAAGCUUGAGAACAGCGUUCCUGCAGCUGCAGAAGCAGCACCAGACCUGGAAGAGGAAAUGGGGCUCUUUGGGAAAAGCGCAUCUGCAGACGUCACCCCCCCCUCAAAGCAGAAGGAGAGGGCCGCCGCCGCCUUGAAGAGGGACGUGCCCAAGGUGCCCCACGACAGCAGCAAGGACAGCGUCACCGUCUUUGUCAGCAACCUGCCCUACAGCAUGGAGGAGCCGGACGUGAAGCUGCGGCCGCUCUUUGAGGCCUGUGGGGAAGUGGCCGAGGUCCGUCCCAUCUUCAGCAACCGGGGCGAUUUCCGAGGCUACUGCUACGUGGAGUUCAAGGAGGAGAAGUCGGCCCUGCAGGCGCUGGAGUUGGACCGGAAGAAUGUAGGGGGGAGGCCAAUGUUUGUUUCCCCUUGUGUGGAUAAGAGCAAAAAUCCUGACUUUAAGGUGUUCAGGUACAGCACUGCCCUGGAGAAGCACAAGCUGUUUAUCUCGGGCCUACCCUUUUCCUGCACUAAAGAGGAACUCGAAGAGAUCUGUAAGGCUCAUGGCACCGUGAAGGACAUCAGGCUGGUUACCAACCGGGCUGGCAAACCGAAGGGCCUGGCCUACGUGGAAUACGAAAAUGAAUCCCAGGCAUCGCAGGCUGUCAUGAAGAUGGAUGGCAUGACGAUCAAAGAGAAUGUCAUCAAAGUGGCCAUCAGCAACCCCCCUCAGAGGAAAGUUCCAGAGAAGCCAGAGGCAAGGAAAGGACCAGGUGGCCCCAACGUACCCCGGCAGAUAUAUGGAGCGCGGGGGAAGGGAAGGACCCAGCUCUCUCUGCUGCCUCGCGCCCUGCACCGCCCCAGCACCACCGGAGCUCAGGCCGAGAAUGGCCCUGCCCUGAAGCCAGCGGUCACCACCUCAGAGGCCACUGAGGCUCCCAAGAUGUCCAAUGCUGAUUUUGCCAAGCUGCUUCUGAGAAAGUGAACGGGACUCAGAGAAGGGAGAUGCCUUACUUCAUGCUGGCCGGGAGGACACCAUCUCCCAGCUGUACCUGGGUACGGAAGGGCCCAAGGCAGCGCAGUUUCCCCUGGUGUCGACAGAAAGGGAACGGGUGUCCGAGCAGAGAGGCUUCACAUGUUCCCUCACAUUGAGGGUGACAGCAGGAAAACAGUCACUCCAUGACUGGGCACCAGCGCGGAGUUGCCCUUGGGGAUGGACAUGACCUUCCUCACUUUGUCGUCGAUGAUGCUGAAGUACCUCUGGUCGAUCUCCUCCACCAGCGGCAGCGUCCGGUCCCGGCUGACCAGCGCUUUCUCGUGGUAGGGCGAGAUGGUCAGCGCUCUGGUGUACAAGAAGUCUGCCUGGAUGAUGUCCUUUUCCUCUUCGGAGAAGAUGCCAAACUCGGUGAGCGCAUCCACCGAGUCUGGGUCCAUGCUCAGGGCGUGCAAGAAGAGCUUGUGGGCCUUCUUCCGCUUGCCCUGGCGUUUCAUUUCCAGGGCUUGGUGCAGAGCUGCUUUGGCUUCCAACCGAGCGGCUAGAAAAGAGCCAAAGGAGCAUUAUCAGGGAGGGCAGGGAGUGGCCAAGGACACUGAGGUGACCUGUCAGGGGAAGACAUAGCCUUGGGGUUGUUCUAGGCAGGCUGCUCAUGCCCAGUGCCACUGCACGUAUGGAUGUGGUGGUUUUCCAUUUGUCCCCAGAGCCAUUCUCUGCACCCCAGGAGGUACUACCUGGCCCCCUGCCUUCAACUGCCAUAUUGAGUGGCUGUGACCCUGGGGCCACAACUCCCAUCACUGGGCUCUCCCUGCAUCUUCUCCAGCUCUUGGCUGUUCUGGUGAUCCAUCUGAUGGUGCCCCUGCCGCUAGGCCAGGCUGGGAAUAACUCCCCACGGGUGCUAGCUCCCUAGGCCUCCCCAUUCCCGGGCCCUUUCAUUCCUUUCAUCUUCAGCCACACCUGCUUGACAUCUAGUCUUCCUUCCACCGUCCCCCAACGCCCCACUCCCCACCCUCCGGAAACCCAGUAUCAGUAUCAGCCACACACACUGGGCUUCUUUUAGUUCCUCAAGUGCCCAGGCUCUCCUACCCUCUGGUCUCCGCUGGAGCACUCUCCCCUCACAACUUCCACUGGGUCACUCCUGCUUACACUUGGUCUCAGCUUGGGCACCUCCUCCUCCAGGGAGCCUUCCUGGUGUGCUCCUGUGACCCCUUCGCUCCCCCAUCACCACAUGGUGGCGCUGUACCUGUCACCUGUCUGCUUAUAUAGGCUGGCUGGGAGGCCAGGGCUGACUUCUUCACUGUAAUACCCGUGCCCUGCCCACAGGACAUGGUAGACACUAAACAUCUAUCCCAGUGGCUCUCAACCUUGGCUGCACACUAGAAUCACCUGGGAAUCUUUUUAAAAUCCUGAUUUCUGGGCCUCAGAAGAGAGUAAUGUCAGUAUCGUGGGGGAGUGAGAGGACUCCAUUGCUUCUCCCAUAUAAUGUACAAAAAAACCACUGUAACUCAACAAAGGAUCACCCACUCAACACACAAAUGCACCUAAAAGAUCCACGCACAGGAACAUCUGAGGAUGGGAAGUAGGGGAGGUGGGACAGAGGAAGGACAGGGACGGAGACGAAGUUCAGUGUCCACUGUGGCUCCAGCGAGUGAGGUAGGUAGAGAUGGAGAAGUGUGUGCAGCCUGCAGUGUAAGGGGCAGGGCAGGUUCCCUCCAGGAAAGAACAUCGCCCUUCCCCGCCGCCCGUCUAGGCUAAGCCAGGUAGAGGUAGCUGGGAAGCCUUAACACAGUGGUGCCCACCCUCUGCCGCGGGGUGGGGGCGGUGGGGGGAACUGAGCUGUGAGGCCGCAAACUUGUCUCCCCUGCCCCAGACACCCUGGCAGAACCCGGGAAAGGAAGCUGGGAAAUGAAAGUCCCUGCAUCCCAACAAUUUGGGGAUGAGGCAGAAGUGCAGAGUGGGCGUCAUCUACACAGCAUGGCACUGGCAGGAAAACACAGACCAAUGGAGCCGGGAUUGAGAGUCCAGAAAUAAGCCCACACAUACAGGGUAUCCCCCCAAAAUAUAUACGCACAACGUUUGUGAUUCCAUUACACUUUGAAAAUGAAAUGUGUUUUCAUAAACACUGCCUUUAUAAUUAUGCCAAGUGUGUAUGCAUUUUGGAGGGACACCCUAUAUAUAUAUGGACAACUAAUUUUUGUAAAAGAAGCCAAAACAUACACUGGAGGGAAGGAAAGUCUCUUCAAUAAAUGACACUGGGAAGACUAGAAAGCCACAUGCCAAAGAAUGAAACUGCUAUCUGAGACCAUACACAAAACGUAACUAAAGUGGAUUAAAGACUUGAAUAUAAGACCUGAAACAAUAAAAUACAGUCAAACCUCGGUUCUCAAAUGUCUCUCAUCUCGAAUAAUUUGGUUUCCAGCCAGUUGUUCACAGAAAAAGUCUUGGUUUUCUACCUGACAACCCUUCCAUGCUGAUACCGCAGCAUGACAAAAAGCAUCUCUUAAGCAACAAAGGAGAGAAUGCUUUUGUUGCUGGCGAAAUGGACAGUUAGCACAAUUUCAAAACAUAAAGAGGCCAUCAACAGGGCUGAUGUGUGAAAGUGCUCACAGAACAACCACCAGGCAAUUGAAUAGGUAGAAAAACUUGGUAACUGGAUAAAUGAGAAGCAGGUGGUAAUAGCAUUGUGGAGGCAGUGGUAUAGUUUAAGGCUAGUAGGGGGUGAUUUGAUAAAUUUAAGAAAAGUAUUUACAGAUUAAACAGUCCAUUAGAUAUGUACUGUGUAUAAGAAAGGUAAAACAAUCAUUUGGGGAUCUGGAACAGACAAUUCAAUUUACAUUAUUUCUAAUGGGGAAAAAUGAUUCGGUUUUCGAACAACUCGCUUCUCAAGCACCUUCUGGAACUAACUGAGUUCGAGAACAGAGGUUCCACUUAUAUACAAAAAAUAUGGGCACUAAACUUACAGACCUUGGUCUCAGGGGUUUCUGUGAACUUGACCCCAAUGGUAAGGGAAGUAAAAUCAAAUAAAGUGAAAGGUACUGCAGCAAACCAAAAAGCUGCACAGCAAAAGAAACCACAAAAACAAAAGGCAACCAACCGAAUGGGAGACGAUAUUUACAAAUCACACCCCCAAUACCGGGCUAACAUGCAAACUAUAUAAAGAACUCAUACAAUCCAACAACAACAAACACCUGGAUUAAAACAUGGGCAGAGGACCUGAAUAGACGCUUUCCAAGGAAGACAUAAGAGCCAACAGAUACAUGAAAGGAUGCUCAACAUCACUAGUUAUAAGGGAAACGCAAAUCAAAACUACGAGAUACCAUCUCACACCUGUUAACAGUGGCUAUUACCAAAAAGAAGAAAUAAAAGUUGUAGAGGGUGUGGAGAGGGAGCCCUCUCCUGCUGGUGGGACUAUAAGCUGGUGCCGCCACUAUGGAAACCAGUACGGAAAGUCCUCAAAAAAUUAUGAAUAGAGCUACCAUAUGACCCAGCAAUCCCUCUUCUGGGAAUCUACCCAAAAAAUUUGAAAACAACUUAUUCAUAGAUAUUUGUAGUCCUAUGUUCACUGCUGCAUUAUUCACAAUAGCUAAGACAUGGAAACAGUCCAAGUGUCCUUUGACGGAUGAAUGGGUAAAGAUAUGGUACAUACAUACAAUACAUACACACUUAACCGUAAAAGAGAUGAAAUAUUGCCAUUUGCCAUAGCAUGGAGGGAUCUUGAGAGUAUCAUGCUAAGUGAAUAUCAGAUGGAAAAGGACAAGAACUGUAUAAAUUCGCUCAUAUGGGGGAUAUAAAACAAAAAGCAACAAAUGAACAAACAAAAACUCAUGCAGACAACAGAAUGGUGGUUCCCAAAGGGGAAGGGGCAGUGGGAGGACAAAGAGGGUGAAGGGGGUCAAAUACAUGGUGACAAAGAGAGACCAGACUGUGGGUGGGGAGCACACAACCGAAUAUACAGAUGUCGUAUCAUUCAUUGUACACCUGAAGUUUAUGUUACCAAUGUUUCCCCAAUAAAUAUAAUUUAAAAGUGUGAA
This is an RNA transcript of Myotis myotis, 7693 nucleotides long. Lineage: Eukaryota; Metazoa; Chordata; Mammalia; Chiroptera; Vespertilionidae. The record is from RefSeq and is a predicted model, not a curated record.